Molecule: non-coding RNA, 45 nt
Organism: Schistosoma rodhaini
Lineage: Eukaryota; Metazoa; Platyhelminthes; Trematoda; Strigeidida; Schistosomatidae
Source: Rfam
AUUCAGCUGACGAGUUCCAAAUAUGGCGAAACGCGCGUCCUGUAU